GAAAGGGGCUUCGGCCCUGAGUAGAGUGGCAAACGGGUGUAGUAACACGUGGGUGACCUGCCUCAGAGUGGGGGAUAACGUCCCGAAAGGGACGCUAAUACCGCAUAACAUCCUGCCUUUGGAAAGGCGGAGAUCAAAGCCGGGGAUCGCAAGACCUGGCGCUUGGAGAGGGGCCCGCGUCUGAUUAGCUAGUUGGUAGGGUAAUGGCCUACCAAGGCAACGAUCAGUAUCCGGCCUGAGAGGGCGGACGGACACACUGGGACUGAGACACGGCCCAGACUCCUACGGGAGGCAGCAGUGGGGAAUUGUUCGCAAUGGGCGCAAGCCUGACGACGCAACGCCGCGUGGAGGAUGAAGAUCUUCGGGUCGUAAACCCCUGUCGAGCGGGACGAACACUUAUCCGGCUAACAUCCGGAUAGGCUGACGGUACCGCUAAAGGAAGCCCCGGCUAACUCCGUGCCAGCAGCCGCGGUAAUACGGGGGGGGCAAGCGUUGUUCGGAAUUACUGGGCGUAAAGGGCUCGUAGGCGGCCAACUAAGUCAGACGUGAAAUCCCCAGGCUCAACCUGGGAACUGCGUCUGAUACUGGAUGGCUUGAAUCCGGGAGAGGGAUGCAGAAUUCCAGGUGUAGCGGUGAAAUGCGUAGAUAUCUGGAGGAAUACCGGUGGCGAAGGCGGCAUCCUGGACCGGCAUUGACGCUGAGGAG
This 705-nucleotide ribosomal RNA is filed under the name uncultured Acidobacteriota bacterium. RNAcentral describes it as "bacterial SSU rRNA". It matches the Rfam family "Bacterial small subunit ribosomal RNA", at positions 70 to 753 of the family's 1533-position model. The record is from RNAcentral. Lineage: Bacteria; Pseudomonadati; Acidobacteriota.